AGCCUUUCUCCCUGGACAGGGGUAGGGAAAGGAGUGCUGGAUUCGGAGCUCCUCCGUCCCUGCGCCGCCUCAUUUUCUCCUUGGGGUCUGGCGCACAGUGGCCAUUGCAAUACACCCUAAAGACUGAAGGAGCCAGCGCAGAGCCAGGAUCCUCCUGUGAGCCAUGGCCCUGGCUGCCCUGCUUAGCCUCUCGGAACCUGGGCCAUCAGGGGUGGUGUCAGAAGUGGGGUUGGAAGUAGAGCUUCUAAUGACCCCCAGAAGUGCUGAGUGACCUAGCGAGGUACCCUCCAGGCCCAUUGUGUCUCUUUCUCUCUCGGAGCAGCUGGGGAUCGUGUGUAUUUUCACCAGGUAAAGAAAGCUUUUUAUGGUUCACUGACUGAGGACAAUCAACCCCUUCACAAUCUAGAACCUGAAGAUUGGAUCUUCUGAGAACAUCAGAGAAAGACUGCCCUUGCCAUCCACACUGCAGUAAACAUCAGAACCGUGAACUUUGGCUUCAUGAUCUCACAACUGAGAAGGAUCCCUCCACAUUCUUGGAAAUAUACACCCAUUGGAACCCGUAAGCAGACCAUGUGUCAACGUAUGCAGAGUUUGUGCAGACACACAGACCCUCUGGGGAGUAUAUGUUUGAAUCUGAUGAAGAUGAGCAGUUAUUUGUGCACCUGGACAAGAAGGAGAUGGUCUGGCAUCUGUGAGAGUUUAUUCACACUGUGUCAAACUUUCUCAGUCAGAAGUUGACAUAAGGAAGUCACCAGCUUCGGUCUCCUUUAAAUCUCCAGGCCUAACUUUCUUUUGAAUCUCUGCUCUUCAACCACAAUGACUUAUGUACCCCAAGACCCCUCUACCUCCUGGCUGCCUAUGAUCCUCCUGCACCUAGCACUCAGCAAAGGGUCUGACAUUUAGAUAGCACUCAAUCAAUAUGAAGAAUUUAAAGUGUAGUGACAAGGUGGUGCCCACACUGGAUGGUCUGUAUGCUGUGGUCUCAUCAGGGACCUUUCUCUGCACUGCAUUUUUCCUGAGAAAUCCCAGAGUUCAAUAAAUACCUGUGUAUGUCAGAGCUAGA
Homo sapiens (human) is the source of this 1063-nucleotide non-coding RNA. NCBI's taxonomy places the organism in Eukaryota, Metazoa, Chordata, Mammalia, Primates, Hominidae. The record is from RefSeq and is a predicted model, not a curated record.